Long non-coding RNA from Sardina pilchardus (European sardine), 231 nucleotides. RefSeq lists it as uncharacterized. Lineage: Eukaryota; Metazoa; Chordata; Actinopteri; Clupeiformes; Clupeidae. The record is from RefSeq and is a predicted model, not a curated record. The transcript has 3 exons.
GCCCAAAACCUGACCACUUUGGCCCACUCUGUAGGAACUGAUGGUCCAAGCGAGGAUGCUAUUGUGUUAACCACUGUACUGCAAAAUGGGACUACCCCUGCCCAAGAUGUAACCACCAUUACUGAUGCCCACGAUGACUCAUGAUGUGACUCAAGAUUGCUAAUGUUUCAUGGAAUUCUGUCAUUGCUUUCUCCAUCUUGAAUUCAAUAAAGGCCAGUUUUUCUUAUCCAA